GAUGAACGCUGGCGGCGUGCCUAAUACAUGCAAGUCGAGCGAACAGACGAGGAUCUUGCUCCUCUUACGUUAGCGGCGGACGUGUGAGUAACACGUGGAUAACCUACCUAUAAGACUUGGAUAACUUCGGGAAACCGGAGCUAAUACCGGAUAAUAUAUUUAACCUCAUGGUUCAAUAGUUAAAUACGGUUUUUCUGUCACUUAUAGAUUGAUCCUCGCCGCAUUAGCUAGUUGGUAAGGUAACGGCUUACCAAGGCAACGAUGCGUAGCCGACCUGAGAGGGUGAUCGGCCAAACGGGAAGUGAGAAAGGGUACAGAGUAAUACGGGAGGGAGCAGUAGGGAAUAUUGCGCAAUGGGGGAAAGGAUGAAGGAGGAAAGCCGCGUGAGGGAAGAAGGGCUUCGGAUCGGAAAAAUAUGUUAUUAGGGAAGAAAAAAAGGGUAAGUAAAUAUGAAAGUAUUGACGGUAACAAAUAAGAAAGCAACGGCUAACUACGUG
This 497-nucleotide ribosomal RNA is filed under the name uncultured bacterium. RNAcentral describes it as "partial 16S ribosomal RNA". It matches the Rfam family "Bacterial small subunit ribosomal RNA", at positions 28 to 507 of the family's 1533-position model. The record is from RNAcentral.